Molecule: ribosomal RNA, 429 nt
Filed under: uncultured bacterium
Lineage: Bacteria
Description: bacterial SSU rRNA
Rfam family: Bacterial small subunit ribosomal RNA
Source: RNAcentral
GACGAACGCUGGCGGCGUGCCUAAUACAUGCAAGUCGAACGGUCUUUUCUAUGAAAGCUUGCUUUCACUGAGAAGAUAGUGGCGGACGGGUGAGUAACACGUGGGUAACCUGCCCAUAAGAGGGGGAUAACAUCCGGAAACGGGUGCUAAUACCGCAUAGUUUUUUUAGUCACAUGACUGAGAAAGGAAAGACGGCCUUUGUGCUGUCGCUUAUGGAUGGACCCGCGGCGUAUUAGUUAGUUGGUGAGGUAAUGGCUCACCAAGACGAUGAUACGUAGCCGACCUGAGAGGGUGAUCGGCCACAUUGGGACUGAGACACGGCCCAAACUCCUACGGGAGGCAGCAGUAGGGAAUCUUCCGCAAUGGACGAAAGUCUGACGGAGCAACGCCGCGUGAGUGAAGAAGGUUUUCGGAUCGUAAAACUCUGUU